AUGCUCGUAGGGUCCGAUCAUGACAACAUGGAUGAUGACGAGGAAGGGAGCAUGUCGUCUGCUAUACCUAGCGAGGUUGAUCCAUUAGAAUUUGUUUACACAAACAUCCCCGACACCACUCACAUCCUGAAGCUCGACGCAAACUGCAAACACUGCAAGGCCAAAAAGUUUGUCUCUGAGACCGACGGGUUCUGCUGUCGCAAUGGCCAGAUCGAACUUAAACAACCGGAGCCAAUCCCAGAGCUGAUGAGGCUAUGGUCAAGCAUGGAUGCAGAUUCUAGACAUUUUCGGGAGAACAUACGGUUCUUCAACGGGCAUUUCGCCUUCACAACCAUUGGCGUUAGCCUUGAUGAGAACUAC
RNAcentral lists this ribosomal RNA (360 nucleotides) under Triticum aestivum (bread wheat). RNAcentral describes it as "partial small subunit ribosomal RNA". The record is from RNAcentral. Lineage: Eukaryota; Viridiplantae; Streptophyta; Magnoliopsida; Poales; Poaceae.